CUGUUUCCUUCAAUAUAAAACACUAUUUCUUGUCGUUUUUCUAAUUAGCGUUCCGGUGGAAAGCGAAAGGUCGGGAUCUUCUCCAGAUCUUCGGAGGAGGAUUACGCGUGGCUGCGGUCCCUGCUCCGGUCCGAGGAGUUCAGGGAUCGGGUUAAGGAAGUCAGACCCUGUUACAUCUCUAAUAACGGGGGUCCGCAGUUCAGAGAGGAGGUGUCUCGAUGCACCUUCGGGAUCCUCUAUCACACCAAGAACCGGGGGAGGAUUAAUGUGACCGAUGUGGAGGACGCUCUGUAUAACACAGAGCUGGAGUAUCUGUCCCGUACUUUGGGGAAAGCCAACGUCGUCGUGGUGAUCGAUGACCUGGAGGACAGCGGUGAAGCCGAGAAAAGGCGAAUCCUAGGAGCCCAAAUGAGCAUCGGGAGGUUUGCCCGAGAUCUCUUCAUCUUCUCCCAGACCGAGAAGGAUCCCGGAGGGGGAAUCCGAGGGGGCCCCGCGGCCGACAAAAUCAGGAUGAUGAAGAAAAUGCUAAAAUAAAAACUUGAAUAGCGGGGGAGGGGCGUUGGGGUAAUUCUGUACGAAUAAUUAUUCUAUACUCCUCGAGUAUGUAAUGAUUGUGGUUUUUGCCCCCGGGGGGGGGUUUCUUGGGGUAUUCUCUCUGUAGGGUUGUGAAGAGAAUAAUUUCCGUUUGAUUUUAGUCAUUUACUUGGAAAUAUACAGGCGUUUCUUUGAAACGUUUAAUAUAAUUUAUCGCAA
Long non-coding RNA from Spea bombifrons (plains spadefoot toad), 753 nucleotides. RefSeq lists it as uncharacterized. NCBI's taxonomy places the organism in Eukaryota, Metazoa, Chordata, Amphibia, Anura, Pelobatidae. The transcript is spliced from 2 exons. The record is from RefSeq and is a predicted model, not a curated record.